This 484-nucleotide ribosomal RNA is filed under the name uncultured bacterium. RNAcentral describes it as "partial 16S ribosomal RNA". It matches the Rfam family "Bacterial small subunit ribosomal RNA", at positions 29 to 507 of the family's 1533-position model. The record is from RNAcentral.
AGUGAACGCUGGCGGCAGGCCUAACACAUGCAAGUCGAACGGCAGCACGGAGCUUGCUCGCGCAUGCAGGGGGGGACGGGCGGGUGAUGCCUAGGUAUCUGGCAGGCAUCUCGGUAUAAGGUGCUAACACGGGCGAUCAUACCCUAAACGCCCAUACGUCGAACGUGGGGGAGCAUCGGAUCUCCCGCCUUUAGGUGAGCCUAGGAGCGAUUAGCUAGUUGGCGGGGUAACGGGCUACAAAGGCGACGAGCCGUAGCUGGUCUGAGAGGAUGAUCAGCCACACUGGAACUGAGACACGGUCCAGACUCCUACGGGAGGCAGCAGUGGGGAAUAUUGGGCAAUGGGCGAAAGCCUGAUCCAGCCAUGCCGCGUGAGUGAAGAAGGUCUUCGGAUUGUAAAGCCCUUUUGGUUGGAAGGAAGAGCAGCAGGUUAAUACCGGGCUGUUUUGACGGUACCAAAAGAAUAAGCACCGGCUAACUUCGUG